UACGAAGGGGGCAAGCGUUGUUCGGAAUUACUGGGCGUAAAGGGCGUGUAGGCGGAUCGACCAGUCAGGGGUGAAAUCCCGGGGCUCAACCUCGGAACUGCCUUUGAUACUGUCGAUCUAGAGUCUGUGAGAGGGUGGCGGAAUACCCAGUGUAGAGGUGAAAUUCGUAGAUAUUGGGUAGAACACCAGUGGCGAAGGCGGCCACCUGGCACAGUACUGACGCUGAGGCGCGAAAGCGUGGGGAGCAAACAGGAUUAGAUACCCCCGUAGUCC
RNAcentral lists this ribosomal RNA (273 nucleotides) under uncultured bacterium. RNAcentral's name for it is "partial 16S ribosomal RNA". It matches the Rfam family "Bacterial small subunit ribosomal RNA", at positions 524 to 796 of the family's 1533-position model. The record is from RNAcentral.